RNAcentral lists this ribosomal RNA (1105 nucleotides) under Staphylococcus aureus. Its description in RNAcentral is "bacterial SSU rRNA". It matches the Rfam family "Bacterial small subunit ribosomal RNA", at positions 134 to 1225 of the family's 1533-position model. Lineage: Bacteria; Bacillati; Bacillota; Bacilli; Caryophanales; Staphylococcaceae. The record is from RNAcentral.
AAGACUGGGAUAACUUCGGGAAACCGGAGCUAAUACCGGAUAAUAUUUUGAACCGCAUGGUUCAAAAGUGAAAGACGGUCUUGCUGUCACUUAUAGAUGGAUCCGCGCUGCAUUAGCUAGUUGGUAAGGUAACGGCUUACCAAGGCAACGAUGCAUAGCCGACCUGAGAGGGUGAUCGGCCACACUGGAACUGAGACACGGUCCAGACUCCUACGGGAGGCAGCAGUAGGGAAUCUUCCGCAAUGGGCGAAAGCCUGACGGAGCAACGCCGCGUGAGUGAUGAAGGUCUUCGGAUCGUAAAACUCUGUUAUUAGGGAAGAACAUAUGUGUAAGUAACUGUGCACAUCUUGACGGUACCUAAUCAGAAAGCCACGGCUAACUACGUGCCAGCAGCCGCGGUAAUACGUAGGUGGCAAGCGUUAUCCGGAAUUAUUGGGCGUAAAGCGCGCGUAGGCGGUUUUUUAAGUCUGAUGUGAAAGCCCACGGCUCAACCGUGGAGGGUCAUUGGAAACUGGAAAACUUGAGUGCAGAAGAGGAAAGUGGAAUUCCAUGUGUAGCGGUGAAAUGCGCAGAGAUAUGGAGGAACACCAGUGGCGAAGGCGACUUUCUGGUCUGUAACUGACGCUGAUGUGCGAAAGCGUGGGGAUCAAACAGGAUUAGAUACCCUGGUAGUCCACGCCGUAAACGAUGAGUGCUAAGUGUUAGGGGGUUUCCGCCCCUUAGUGCUGCAGCUAACGCAUUAAGCACUCCGCCUGGGGAGUACGACCGCAAGGUUGAAACUCAAAGGAAUUGACGGGGACCCGCACAAGCGGUGGAGCAUGUGGUUUAAUUCGAAGCAACGCGAAGAACCUUACCAAAUCUUGACAUCCUUUGACAACUCUAGAGAUAGAGCCUUCCCCUUCGGGGGACAAAGUGACAGGUGGUGCAUGGUUGUCGUCAGCUCGUGUCGUGAGAUGUUGGGUUAAGUCCCGCAACGAGCGCAACCCUUAAGCUUAGUUGCCAUCAUUAAGUUGGGCACUCUAAGUUGACUGCCGGUGACAAACCGGAGGAAGGUGGGGAUGACGUCAAAUCAUCAUGCCCCUUAUGAUUUGGGCUACACACGUGC